Molecule: ribosomal RNA, 296 nt
Filed under: uncultured Burkholderiales bacterium
Lineage: Bacteria; Pseudomonadati; Pseudomonadota; Betaproteobacteria; Burkholderiales
Description: partial 16S ribosomal RNA
Rfam family: Bacterial small subunit ribosomal RNA
Source: RNAcentral
CUCGGAGUUUGAUCCUGGCUCAGAUUGAACGCUGGCGGAAUGCUUUACACAUGCAAGUCGAACGGUAGAGGGGGUCAACCCCGUUGAGAGUGGCGAACGGGUGAGUAAUAUAUCGGAACGUGCCCAGUCGUGGGGGAUAACGUAGCGAAAGUUACGCUAAUACCGCAUACGAUCUAAGGAUGAAAGCGGGGACCGUAAGGCCUCGCGCGAUUGGAGCGGCCGAUAUCAGAUUAGGUAGUUGGUGGGGUAAAGGCUCAUCAAGCCAACGAUCUGUAGCUGGUCUGAGAGGACGACCA